This 338-nucleotide long non-coding RNA is filed under the name Sorghum bicolor (sorghum). Its description in RNAcentral is "long non-coding RNA (SBIC_LNC003774)". Lineage: Eukaryota; Viridiplantae; Streptophyta; Magnoliopsida; Poales; Poaceae. The record is from RNAcentral.
UUCCUCUCAGCUCCCAAAUAACACAGGACCUCAGACUCCUUCUGCAGUUACAUAAACUAAACAUGCAACGCCUGCAUCUGGAUUUUUUUUUGUCUGGAUAACCUGCAUCUGUUUUUUUUUCCUGAAUCCCCUCCAUGUGUUUCUAUCAUCCCAAUUCCCUCCCAUCUCCCUCUCUAGUCUCUACAUACAGCACCUAAGAUGGACGCCAACAUAACACGGUACAAGUACAUACUGACAGAGAACGAUGGUUCUCGCUCACUGGCGGCCUCACCGGAGGCUGUUGACGAAGGCGAGGAGCGAGUCGACGUCCCUCUUCUCCGACGGGUACUUGAUGGGCC